RNAcentral lists this unclassified non-coding RNA (524 nucleotides) under Hevea brasiliensis (rubber tree). The record is from RNAcentral. Lineage: Eukaryota; Viridiplantae; Streptophyta; Magnoliopsida; Malpighiales; Euphorbiaceae.
AAGCAAGAGGCUUGGGCUGUGGAGCAUGAAAAGCCCCACAAGCCGCAGCCGCAACCCAAAGGAGCAGGAAGAAAAGACGAAGAUUUUGUCUCCUACGAAGAGAAAAAAAAAUCUUUACAGUUUGGGUUCUCCAAGAAGAAAUUCAAUCUGAAUCUCUGGGUCGCUCUAUUGAUAGAUCCUGUGAAGCUGGACAGGAUACAGAAAAAAAAAAUAUAUCACAGUGAAGUUAACAGUUUCUUUCCUAGGAUGAGGAAGCAAGAUAUUUGGUGGCUUGGACAUCUAUGGUGUCAUUUUGUAGGUCCUUGUAUUCUUAUCAAACCAAAACUGAAUGCGAUUGUGUAAAUGGAAAAGUUUUCUUUGAAAAAAUGGGAAAUUGAAGAUAGGUCCAUCCGAGUCUUGGUUCUGUAACACUGUAUACGAAUACUAUAAAGUUAUAUUACUUCGUUGUUAACUGCAAGAUUUUUAUUUGUUUCUGUUUCUGAUUAGACACUUUCGAUAUUUUAUCAUGAGUUAAAAUUUGCGGU